UAAAAAAUUUCAAUUUUAUCAUUUUCAUUUUUUUUUACAUUUUGCUUUCAUUAUCUUAUUAUUUAAAUAUCUAUAAGAUNCUUCUCCUACACAUACACACAUUGCAGAAAAAUAGAUACCAACAAAAUCUGCUCAUCAUCGAAAACUAGUACAAUCGAAAACUACUUUCGAUCCAUCAUCUUGAAGCACCAAAGAAACAGAACGAAGGAUAUCAGACCCCAUCAAAUUCCAUCUUCAAUUCAUCUUCACUGAAUUAAUCGAAACUCAACUUCAAUCUACAAAAAGUUAAGUCAUUUAAUGAAACGAAACUCAUUUGCCCGACCAUCUUAUGUACCUGAAACAGUAUUUUGAAGGGAAAAUGGGUAAACACAAAGCUUAGUGAAUUUCACACAUAUACAGUAUCAUAUCAUAUAAUCCUUAGCCCUAUGUACAUUGAUACAAACGAUAUCAACAUACAACCACGUAUGCAUGUUAAAGAAUGAAUAAGAAACAUACAUACUCCUACUGGAGCACACUGGCUAGGUCCGACCCCCCAUUGCUUUGUACGUCGAGCCCUUGGGACACAUUGGCUAAGUCCGCUCCCCCAUACCCGAACCCAUUGGGACACAUUGGCUAAGUCUGCUCCCCCCUUGCUUUGUACGUCGAGCCUUUAGGACACAUUGGCUACGCCCGAUCCCCACUUGGAUGUACCAAGUCCUACCAUGCAUAAUCCUCAAUACUUAAGGGAAACCACUAGACUCUACCUCGCCUAGUACUACUCGCAUAAACAACACAUAGUACACACAGGGUAACAUAAAAAAAUAUAUAAUACAACACAGUGUAGUGAGAAACUCACCUCAAUUAGCAAGACCAAUCUCCAAACGUAGCCCAGGGCUCACUCACACUGGGUCACCCUUCAAUCCUCUUUAACAAUAACAAUCAAGGUUAUAAAUGGCUAACCUUUCACUGAAAACAUGUAACUAAACUACUAGGUUUAAUUUCUAGAUUUUAACCCAAAACAACAGCUUGUUCAAUACUUGNCCCCCCCCCCACACACACACACACACAAAAACCCAUCUAAACCAGGUUAUGAAACCAUGAUCAUGAAGUUCAGGUUAAUACCUUUUUCAGGGACUAGUUACACGCGCUCAACUUUCGGCCAAAACAAUGAAAUAAAAUAGACUCACAUACAAACUUUGGGUACUAAUUUCGACAAGGAACAUCUCUAGUAUUAGUUAUGAUGCUUAUAAAGUAGGACAUAACAAUGGAUUUUUCAGAAAGAUAAAACUAGGGUUGGAGUUCAAUCCACUAAACCCAUUAAGUCCCAAAUUUGAUUAAGACCUUCCACGUCUGUAACACAUCAUCCCUAGGUCCCAUAGGACUUUUCCAAGAAAUGAGUAAGAAAUCAAACCUAGGUUGUUGAGAUUGAAAGCUCCAUACAAACCUUGCACCUAAAACGACUUCGACAACAACCCUAAAACUUCUGCCAUGAUCGACGAUAUGUAACUCUAUCUCUAGACCUUGGAAUUGAAAUUCCAACGGUCAAAACUUCAAUAUAUCUCUUGGAAAGCCUCACGCCAAAUUUCUCGAUGAUCCAACGAUUCAAUCUCCGGGGAUCGUCCAAGUACUGUUGAAAGGUCUUCAAAAAUGGGAAUUCCAAGCAAUAUGGUUAUUAAGGUUAAGUUGUGUUUAAGGGUCCUUAAGUGGCUGAACAAUUCGGUCCUAAGGCCCCCAAUUCAAC
This 1720-nucleotide long non-coding RNA is filed under the name Lactuca sativa (garden lettuce). Its description in RNAcentral is "long non-coding RNA (LSAT_LNC009894)". Lineage: Eukaryota; Viridiplantae; Streptophyta; Magnoliopsida; Asterales; Asteraceae. The record is from RNAcentral.